GCAGGUUACAGGUCGCAACAUUCGAGAGAUCCCAGCUUCCCAGGACUGUCUUUGACCAAGGUCCCAUCUGUUCAAGGUUCAAUGAGAGCCUUUCAAUAAUGACCUGGGAUAUUGAGAUGUGAGAGGAAAAGAAAUUGUCUGCAACUGCAAGCACUUGGGCGGCACAUGGUGGCCAUCACAUUGAACUAAAGGGACUAAAGGAGAAUAUGUGGUGUGUAUAGUACUCAACAACAACAACAACAAAAACGUCGGGUCCUCCUCACAUGCCUGUUGUGUAGAUCUUCUUAGCCCCAUUGCAAAAAUAAUCUGGCUGCCAAAAUUCUGAUGCAUGUGCUUGAGGAAGAAACUGAUCAAAAUGUGGGCCCUAGAGGACCAUUUCCAUGGUAAAAUGAAUGCAGGACUAUGACACCAUAGUUUGCCUAGUGACCUUUUUUAUCUGACUUUGCCUCGAGGGUGACUCUGUGUCUUGGAGUGGGAAAAAAUGGUGGCUAGGACUGUGACCUCAAGAAAUGCAUGGUCCCAACAGAUCCUUAGAUGUUGAUUUGACAGCCAAGUUGAAGUUGCCCCUUUGCCCUUCUUUCUCCCGAAGUCUUCAGACGAUAAGGGUACACCACACUACAGUGCCAAAAGGUGUAGUCGGCAGACGCGAAGGACGUCUCAGAUGCCACCUCUCUCUCCCCUAUGAACGCAAGAAAACAGAGAUACAUGUACAUGAGUUGCGUUUGCCUUCAUCCAACGAGGGAGAAGCAAAAGGAGCAAAGGAAUGUGUGGGACUCAAGAAGGUGCACGGUGGAGCUGUCAGCCAGAGUCUCUUUGCACGAGGGCUCUUCUUUGUCGUUUUCUGCCGUCUCUGUCCCUAUCCAACAUUGCAUGAGCAAAAAUCAGAAAUUGAGGAAUUCCAAAACCAAGAUCAUGCGCCAAUCAAGUGCAAAGGUUUCACUUUGACCAUAAUGAUGGCCCAUGACAGGGACAUACGAGAGGCAAGCAUGAGGGGGAGCGACGCAUACGGCUGUGACAAUACGCACAAAACCAAGCUGAUCCGUCCACAGUAUACUAUGUGGUACGUCGAGAACACAGGGUUUUAGUUAUCUGUGCCAAACACCAUCUAACAAAAUACAUAUUACUUCACAUGUGAUGAUGUGGAUUCUGCUGAUACUGGGCGAUCCAGAUAGUAUAACGCAGAACCAUGGCGUUAUCUCAGGUUCUUGCCUGGUUUCAAGCUGCAUAGAACCCCAGCAGGUCUACACCUCCAAGCAAUGCUACGGUUUACGUGCGGUCUCUGCUGUGGAUUAAUUGAUGUACCUGCACUAGACUCCACACGCUCGUGAGCAAAGGACGAGGACGAAGAUGAAUUCUGACCACCCCCACGUGUGACCUCUUCUGUCACACGUGUGAUUGCUCAGAGGCAGACGACACGGAGAAAGAAGGAACACCUUUUGUGUCUCCUGUACGCGCGCGCGCGCGUGUGAGAUAGAGAUAGAGAGAGAGAGAGGGGUUCCCAAGAAGCUCAAACUCCAAUAUGUACUGUUCGUUGAUGCUCAAGAUUAACUCUGCAGAUUCACAUACUGUUUCCUGCAGCAAAUGAUGCAGUGGACGACUAUGCACCAGCUUGUCUUUGUUCUUUGACCUAGAAAAUGGUGGGAGUCCUCAGAGUAGAAACGUCAGAGACAAAAGCUCAGGCAAGUGCAUGUCACCAGGAAUCUCUUUCUGGGUUGAGUGGGAACUGGAUUAUCUUUUUUCUUUUAGUUCCUCUGGUUGUCUUCAAUGCAACACUUGGCUGGCCAUGGACCAGCAUGUCUUUGUUCUUUGACACCAUGGUGGAGUCCUCAGAGCAAAACAUUAGAGACAAUCCCAAGCUGAAGCAGAUGUAUAAAGAGAAUGAUAUGAUGAAGAAACUAUUGUCUGGGUUGAUGAAGAACAGAGAGUUGGGACAGGGGACUGUGAUGCUUCCAACCAACAUGUUGCAGGAAGAUCCUAAACCCACUCUGGCAAAGCACGCCCGCUCGUGUCUUCAUGUCCGCAGAGCUUUUGUAUGCUUCAGGACUCGUCCUUGUUGACGUUGCUAUCUGCUGCACGCUUUGGACGUGGAUGCGUCUGCUGAAAGCUCAGUAUAUAUUAUCAGUUGUUCCAUCAUGCGUUAUGUAUUAGCUCUAAUUUUCUUCGGUCAAUGCCAUCAAUUGUCAGAUAUGUUUUGUUCUACGUGCAUUACAACAAAACGUUGUCUUCUCCAGCCUUCUUGUGCUUGACAAUGUUGCACCUCAUUCACUCA
Musa acuminata subsp. malaccensis (wild Malaysian banana) is the source of this 2269-nucleotide non-coding RNA. Lineage: Eukaryota; Viridiplantae; Streptophyta; Magnoliopsida; Zingiberales; Musaceae. The record is from RefSeq and is a predicted model, not a curated record.